Molecule: long non-coding RNA, 367 nt
Filed under: Macaca mulatta (Rhesus monkey)
Lineage: Eukaryota; Metazoa; Chordata; Mammalia; Primates; Cercopithecidae
Description: lncRNA (ENSMMUG00000054281.1)
Source: RNAcentral
GGGGUGAUGACUGACAUGCUGCCAGUACAUAACAGGCCAAGGACUCGGCACAGCGCAGGCACAAUGUGUGCUCCUGAGUGAAUCUAACGGCCUUAUCACCAAGGAACGAGGCCAUUGUGUGUAUUAGUGGAGUCUCAGCUAGCUGACUCCUGCCUUCAGCUUGAACUGAGACAGGUUCCAUUUGCACACGGUCUACCUGGGUCAUCUAUGGCUCAUCCUGCUUUGCUGUUCCUCCAACAUUCACCGAGACCUGACUUUAUAUUCUGAGGUGUUCAAGACAUUCAUUGGCCUAUCUAGCAGGGACUGACUGAGACGGUACGUUGUAUAUUUAUCAAAAGAUGCUUCCAGUUUUACCUUGGCCUGGGCA